CAAAGUUGAUCGAAGUGGUCGAUAUAUAAGAAGACCUCUCAGGCACCCACAACCAGCGUCUGAUCGGCACCAACCCCAUUCCAGGAAGAGGUCCAGUCUGCCCCGGGUCAGAACCACUUCUAUAGCAACUACACAACUGUGUAUGCACUUAUCAUUAUUGAUAGCCAGUCUGAGCCAGAAGACACAAUGGAGCAAAGCACAGAAUACCUGACUGCGGCACACUUUGUUGCAGAACUCUCUGCAACAAUAACAAAUACAUCUUGCAGCAGGUUCAAUAUUAACAGAGCCAGUGUGU
Molecule: long non-coding RNA, 295 nt
Organism: Gymnodraco acuticeps
Lineage: Eukaryota; Metazoa; Chordata; Actinopteri; Perciformes; Bathydraconidae
Exons: 5
Source: RefSeq, a predicted model, not a curated record